This 355-nucleotide unclassified non-coding RNA is filed under the name plant metagenome. Its description in RNAcentral is "partial contains small subunit ribosomal RNA, internal transcribed spacer 1, and 5.8S ribosomal RNA". The record is from RNAcentral.
UUUCCGUAGGUGAACCUGCGGAAGGAUCAUCACUAAAACUAUCAAAAAUUAAAGAAAUUUAGUUUUUUGAAAAUAAAUUUAAAACCCCUUUUGAGUAAACUGUAACGAUGGGUCUUUUACUUUUUGGUUUUCCAAAAACUAAGAGACCUUUAAAAAAGGGCAUGGUUAAAAUUUAUAACUUUUGGUUUAUUUUUUAACCAUGUUUCAUUUUUUUAAAAAUUUCCUUUUUGUUAAACUUUUUUCGAUUGUGAAUUCUUUUUAAAAAAUCAUUUUUUGGUUUUAUAAAAAGAGUUUUCUUUUUCAAAAAUAAUUUAAUUGAAAAACAAAACUUUUAACAAUGGAUCUCUUGGUUCUU